This 173-nucleotide unclassified non-coding RNA is filed under the name uncultured bacterium. RNAcentral's name for it is "16S-23S intergenic spacer". The record is from RNAcentral.
UCUGGAGUCGCGAGUAACUCAGCUCGUUCGGUGAGCGAAAGCGUCUCGAGAUGUCGCCCGCACUUCCACACUCGAUCGUCUUCUUCUUCGUUCUUGAAGAAGUCUUUGCUCUUUGACAACUGAUGAGUGCGUGGUGUAGUGGUGUUUUAAGGAAUCACACCGAGAAGACUAUG